UUUCUUCCGAAGAUCUAAAACGCAUUCCUACUGCUGAAGAAAAACACUCGAAGAUUUAUACUUGGAUAUAUCAUUUAGUGAUUUUGUUGUUGAAAGGACUAUCACAGCUAUGAAGGUCAGCGCUCUCCUCGUUGUCAUGCUGGUUUUUGCAAUGGUGAUUGCUGCACCAGAGGUUGUUAGUGCUAAAGCUGCGUCAAAUGAUGGCAGUGACGACAAACCAAAGGACGCAGUGAAUGAGAAGGGCUCUAAGGAAUCCGAAAAAGGAAACAAUAAUCCCAAGGAUCAAAGAUCCCGUAUUGGCUAUUUCUAGAGAGACAAGAACCAAAGGAUUAAACUGACUAAACUGGACACUGAAUUAACAUUUUCUUCCAAAUAAAAUAUAAUACAAUAAAAUGCAUAUUGCAGUA
Long non-coding RNA from Ruditapes philippinarum (Manila clam), 407 nucleotides. RefSeq lists it as uncharacterized. Lineage: Eukaryota; Metazoa; Mollusca; Bivalvia; Venerida; Veneridae. The transcript has 4 exons. The record is from RefSeq and is a predicted model, not a curated record.